CCAAACCUGUGCCUUUUGGAGGGAAUAUAUUGACGGAACGCCAGCCUACCUUUCCAUAACAUCAGGGACUCAUCAAUGCAUAGUUCUUUGUCAUGUGCGACGUGAAGACAGGAUAUGUCCUGGAUAUUAUAGUGUACACAGGGUCUACCACUGACAUCAAACAUUAUGAGGGGCUUGGGGUGUCUGGGUCCGUGGUGAUGACCAUGCUGGCUCCUCAUCUCGGCAAGGGACACACUUUGUACGUGGACAAUUGGUACAGCAGACCCACACUCUUCCAGCAUCUGCUCUCCAACAGCACAGGGGCCUGUGGCACAGUCAGGUCGAACAGGACGGGGAUGCCGGCAUUCGGAUGCAGGAAGAUGCAGAGAGGGGAGGUGGAGUUCCAGGAGAACGGUCAACAGCUGGCAGUAUAGUGGCAUGACAAAAGAGACGUCCAUGUCCUCUCCACUGUCCAUACAGCAACCAUGUCGGCCACAGGGAAGGUGGACCACCUGACGGGAGAGAGAAAGAUAAAACCAGAUUGUGUGCUAGACUAUAACCUCAAAAUGGGGGCCGUGGAUAAGGCGGACAUGAUAAACAGCUUUGUGGAAUGCACUCGGAAAACGACCAAGUGGUAUAAGAAGAUAUUUUUCCAGCUGAUCGACACUGCUGUCCUCAACGGCAGCAUAGUUCACCUCCAACUAACAGGUGAGAUGAUUACUGAACAAGGUAUUUUUGUAAUUGGAUGUACAGUUCACAUACAAAUCCAUUAUGCAAUUACAGUGACAAUAUCUCACCAACCUACCCACUGCCUCAUCAUCCUCUAACUUUCCUCAUCCUCCCCACUCCCUCAUAGGUAAAGUAAUUACCUACCAAAAAUACAGAGAGAACCUCAUGAGAGAGCUGUUGGAGGAGCACCACACCCCUCGGCGCCCCUCCACUGGGGGUCGCCCUGCUUUAGACAAUCCCCUACGCCUCACUGCACGGCAUUUUCCCUGCAAAGUCCCUCAAACUGCUGCUCAAGGUAGUCGCACACGGAGGCACUGCAAAGUCUGCCUGUCUGGCGCCAGGAGAAGUAAGCAGAGGAAGAUGACAAAAUACAUGUGUUUAGCUUGUGAUACACCUCUAUGUAUUUCACCAUGCUUUGAGGAGUAUCACAUGCUCAAGCAUUAUUGAGCACAUCUGCAGCAAUAAGUGACUGACUGACCUGACAGGUGACUUGACAGGUGACCUGCCAUGAUACUAUGCCUUUAGAGGUGGGGGUGGAAAUGCAGUUGUUGUUCAGUCACUGCAUGAAUAUUAAAUAUGGGUUAUGCAUAUUCAAUUUUUUGUCCUCUAGUAAAACAAGUUGUUGUUGAACCAACUACCAAUACUUCAAUAAAAUAGACGACUAUUACAUAUUGGCCUAUGUGUUUUCUUGCUGUGUUUCCAUCCAGUAAAACUGUUAAGGAGAGAACGUUAGCAUACAAAAGCUGUCCUCAAUCUUCAGCUCGAAAGAUGUCCAGUUAUGAUAUUGGCAAAUACUGUUUUUGGUUUCUGAAAGUACAGAAUAAAGAGGAAUUAUUAAUUAGAAUACAAUAUAAGGAUAUAGCAAUAAAACAAUAUUACAAAUAACAUAAUAAACACAGCUAUAAAAAUAGUUUAUUGCAUUGACAAAAUCACAGAUUUGAGUUAUAACAGUAAGAAACUAACUUUUGAGCUCCACAAGGGGGCAAGGCAGGGCAGAACAGAGCCAUGCUGAAUAGACCAAAUAAACAAACCAUGGUCAUAUGUUUUAUUUUAUUUAACUAGGCAAGUCAUUUAACAGCAAAUUAUUAUUUACCUAUGAUGGCCUACACCGGCCAAACUCGGACAACGCUGGGCCAAUUGUGCGCUGCCCUAUGCGACUCCCAAUCACAGCCAGUUGUGAUACAGCCUGGAUUUGAACCAGGGUGUCUGUAGUGAUGCCUCUAGCACUGAGAUGCAGUGCCUUUGAGCGCUGCGCCACUAGGGAGUCAUAAGGCCAUGUAGCUUCAAAAUACAACACAAGCUAAUACUUCUCCGACGCAACUAGCAUUGUUUUACAGAGCUAAUAGAAGAAUGUAGCUAGCUACCUAAGCACGAUUGAAUAUAACACCAUGAAGGUGGGCCUCCCUGUGGCUCAAUUGGUAGAGCAUGGUGUUUGCAAUGGUGUUUGCAACGCCAGGGUUGUGGGUUCGAUUCCCACAGGGGGCCAGUACGGAAGAAAAAAAAACGUAUGAAAUGUAUUCAUUCACUACUGUAAGUCGCUCUGGAUAAGAGCGUCUGCUAAAUGACUAAAAUGAAAAGUUAUAAAAUGAGUAACGUCCCCUCGCUUAUAAGAAGUAUACAUUAUUCUCGCUACGGCAUACAGAAACUAUUAUAACGUAAUAAGGCACUUACUUAGAAACGCAGCAUGGAUUUGAACCAGGGAGUCUGUAGUGACGUCUCUAGCACCGUGCUGUGCCUUUGACCCCGUGUUGUGCCUUUGACCGCUGCGCCACUAGGGAGUCAUAAGGCCAUGUAGCUUCAAAAUACAACACAAGAUAAUACUUCUCUGAUGCAAUUAGCAUUGUUUUACAGAGCUGAUAGAAAAAUGUAGCUAGCUACCUAAGCACGAUUGAAUAUAAUAACAUAAAGGUUAUAAAAUGAGUAACGUUACCUCACGUGUCCGCGGUUAUAAAGAAUAUACACAAAUCUAUUAUGCUCCAUACAUACAGUACGCUACAAUAGAAACGACAUACAUAAACUAUUACAAUGUAAUAAUGCACUUACUUUGAUAGAAACGCACACAUUUCCAAAGUUAUUAUUAGUAACGAAAACAAUGAGGGCAACAGAUGGAAAAUGUGAACACGUGUGCAGAUCCUGUUCUGACGGGAGAUUAGCAAAUGUCUGCAGACUUGAACUGCACAAACAAUUGGAAAGUGCUUGGGGAAUUUUGUCCGGGUCAGAAAUGUCCCAAAAAUAAAAUUGUCCGCAAAAGUAAAAAUGACUAUUUUUAUGUGAAUGAAUGAGGAGGCGGAACACACCUAAAUUCAAACUGUUCUUAGAAAAUAAAAACUUGUUAGAAAAUCAUUUGAAAUUGAAGUUGAAACAGCCUAUAAAUAAAAACAGUCUGCGUGCUUUGGUUUGAGGGCAGCGCGGAUUAAAUGCAC
This 3131-nucleotide transfer RNA is filed under the name Salmo salar (Atlantic salmon). RNAcentral's name for it is "lncRNA (ENSSSAG00000089726.1)". The stretch from base 2226 to 2279 matches the Rfam family "UnaL2 LINE 3' element". Lineage: Eukaryota; Metazoa; Chordata; Actinopteri; Salmoniformes; Salmonidae. The record is from RNAcentral.